RNAcentral lists this RNase P RNA (348 nucleotides) under Oscillospiraceae bacterium. RNAcentral's name for it is "RNase P RNA component class A". It matches the Rfam family "Bacterial RNase P class A". From Rfam's summary of the family: Ribonuclease P (RNase P) is a ubiquitous endoribonuclease, found in archaea, bacteria and eukarya as well as chloroplasts and mitochondria. Lineage: Bacteria; Bacillati; Bacillota; Clostridia; Eubacteriales; Oscillospiraceae. The record is from RNAcentral.
UGACCGGAACGGACAGCCGCGUGAUCCUGCCGAAAGGCAGUUUUAUGAGGAAAGUCCGGGCUCCACAGGGCAAGGAUAACGGGUAACGCCCGCCGAAGGCGACUUCAGGAAAAGUGCAACAGAGAUAUACCGCCUCGCAUUUGCGAGGUAAGGGUGGAAAGGCGAGGUAAGAGCUCACCCAUCACACGGGAACGUCGUGAUGCUGUAAACUCUAUCCGGAGCAACACCGUGGAGGAGACACAGGUUUGCCCGACCGUCUCCGGGGAGGUGGCUUGAGCGUAUCGGCAACGGUGCGCCGAGAUAGAUGGCUGUCGAUUACAGAACCCGGCUUAUAGUUCCGAUCAUACA